GAUGAACGCUGGCGGCGUGCCUAAUACAUGCAAGUCGAGCGAACAGACGAGGAGCUUGCUCCUUCGACGUUAGAGGCGGACGGGUGAGUAACACGUAGGUAACCUACCUAUAAGACUGGGAUAACUUCGGGAAACCGGGGCUAAUACCGGAUAAUAUUUCGAACCGCAUGGUUCGAUAGUGAAGGAAGGCGUUGCUAUCACAUAUAGAUGGACCUGCGCCGUAUUAGCUAGUUGGUAAGGUAACGGCUUACCAAGGCAACGAUACGUAGCCGACCUGAGAGGGUGAUCGGCCACACUGGAACUGAGACACGGUCCAGACUCCUACGGGAGGCAGCAGUAGGGAAUCUUCCGCAAUGGGCGAAAGCCUGACGGAGCAACGCCGCGUGAGUGAUGACGGUCUUCGGAUCGUAAAACUCUGUUAUUAGGGAAGAACAAACGUGUAAGUAACUGUGCACGUCUUGACGGUACCUAAUCAGAAAGCCACGGCUAACUACGUG
RNAcentral lists this ribosomal RNA (497 nucleotides) under uncultured bacterium. RNAcentral describes it as "partial 16S ribosomal RNA". It matches the Rfam family "Bacterial small subunit ribosomal RNA", at positions 28 to 507 of the family's 1533-position model. The record is from RNAcentral.